CCCAUCUUCUCCACUAAGAACUGUUGCUACAAACCUGGGACGUGGGUAGAAUGCAGUUGCCCACUCGUCUUAUAUAAUACAGACCCUUGCAUUCAAAAGUUCACCUCCAUAUGUAAUUUCCCAAUCACCUCCUUAGGCCACCGUCCCCAUCCCUUCUCCCCCCCUUUAACCUAAUUUUCAUUAGCAUAUCCCCAUAACCUGUUGGUUGGAUCAAAGUCAUGGUCAAAGCUUCUACUCGUCUAAUGAUUUGCCUAACUAAAGGACGUAGAUAAUUUAUUCAGGGGGUUCGGUCAUGGGGAUGUCAUGUCAUGCUUUUGGUGGAUUGCUGGCAACGAUUGGAGCUGAUGGCAAAGUACUUGUAUAGUAUGUUGAUGGUGGAUUCCAUACCCAUAUCUUUAUGGAUCAUAAAGGGGUGCUGGCUAGUGUUAUUUUCCAUCUUGACCCAGCUCGUCUGCUGGUACAUUUUAUGAUACGUUAAUAACCACUAUAUUGUGAUUAUAAUAGUUCUUUGAUCAUUGUUAGUAGCGUUGCACUUUUAAAUAUUUUUUACUGCUUGACAACAAAUUUUACUUAUUGUUUUCACUAUUAGCUUUUUUCUGGAUGCGAUGAUACAACUAUACAUGUAUGGGAUCUAACAAACAAGAAAUGUGUAGCAACUCUAGUAAGACAAUGUUCAAAAUGUGACUAGCAUUGCAAUUUGCAAUAGUAGAUGGAUGGACUCUUUUGAGUGGCAGCAGAGAUCAUGUGUUUUUUUGACUAUUUAUUUCCUGAUGUGGAUCUAUUGAUAUUAGCUAAUGUGUUUAUGUUAUUCUUGCUUUAGUUCGGAAUUAUUAUAUAAUUUCGGUUGUAAACUUGUGGAAUCUUCAUGACCACAGUUGCAUAAUGACAAUACCUACCAAGGAUGCAAUUGAAUUUGUAGGUGUUAUUGGUGCCACAUCUUCUUUUGCUUCAUGUCUACAAUACAAGAAAACUAGUGACAAGUCAGCAUUUCUAUUCCUCACUGUUGGUGACAUGAAAUUGUAUAGAUAUGAAAUUUUCAUGGAAUCGUAUGGAUAUGCAGCUUGCCCAUUUCAGCAUGAAUCUUCAAAUGUUACAGUCAGCAAAGAGGAUGAUGAGGAACCUAAAAAAGGUUUCACAUCAGCUGUGAUGUUGCCAUCUGGUCAAGGGUUGUUAUGUGCCACUACUGAUGAGGAAUUUCUUUUCUAUGCCGCAAUCUAAUCUCAAGAAGGAGGUUUUCAGCUGAUUUUUAACAAAAGACUUGUAGGAUACGAUGAGGAGAUAGUGGAUAUGAAGUUCUUCGGUGUUGAAGAACAGUUUCUUGCAAGUGUUGAACAUGCAAUUUACUCAACUUUUGUUAAACGGUUCUUUAUCAAUAUGAAAUUUGAUGGUUCAUUUGUAUUCUAAUGUUUUCAUUAUUGUAGGUGCGAGUGUGUGAUCUUGGCUCGAUGUCAUGUUCAUAUGUUAUGGCGGGGUACGCCGAAAUUGUAUUAUGUUUAGAUACGUGUACAAUAAGAUCUGGAAGAACAUUAAUUGUAACAGGUUGCAAAGAUAACAAUAAAUCAUUGUUGAUCAUAAAUCAGUAAAUUGCUGAUUUUGGUCUGGAAAGAGAAUAAUCAUUAACAUGGAUGAUGACUGCAGAAUUUGGGACCUAUCGUGAGGUAAUUAAUAAAUUGGGUUAACUUGUCAAGGUAACUUUAAAAGUCAAAACGGGCUGGGUUAGUUGACCCACAAAAACUUAUUCAUGUUUUAUAUAGAAUUACAUUAAUGGAUUAUGUACUAUGAUUAUGGAAGCUAUAUGGUAAAAAUGUAGUAUGAUUUUCUCAAUAAAACGUGUAACAUUUUAGAUACAUGUUGGUCGCUUUCAAACAUGUUCAACUUUUUUAAUACUGACUAUGUUUUGCUACUUUUUUUUUUAUUUUCUUCGUUCAUCCUAUUAGAGAUAUCCCAAAUCAAAUGCAUUUUUAGGUAACUCUUUUCCAAUGGAUUCUGCAUUAGAAACUAACUGUAAUGGUGUUUAUGUAGCUUUACCCAGGUAUAUUGAAGAAAUCAUUAUUACAGAGUAGAUGCCUACAGUUAUCCAUUGUUAAUUUAUUUUUGUCAACUUUAUACAUGGACCCCUUUCACAAAAAUAGGAAGAAACUGUCAGCCGAGUGUCAAACUGCCAAACGGAACACUGAACCGAACCUGACGACUUACUUUCAUUGGGUGCUUCACUCAGUUUUAACGGUUUAUAAAUGCCCCUUAUGGAGACCUUUAUUAACUACUCUUUCAUUGAUUUUAUCAUAGUAUUUGAUAUCGGAUUUUCAUACUAUUUUGAAACAAUCAAGAGACUCUCUAGAGCUCCACUUACAGCUGGUAUGGUUCUUGUGGAUAGACAUGCUGAUGGAGCUCAUCAUGUUCAUAGGUUAAAAUUAUAUUCAGUUUGAUAUAAUUUAUUUAGUUUUCCUUAAAACUAUAUUAGAAAAGAAAGUUGUUUGUUAUGGUUAUUUGAGUUAUUUUUGUUUGAUAGCCCGACCAUUGACCCGUUGUAUGAUUUGACAGUAAAAACAAGUAAUAUGAAGCUAACUCUUUCAAUAGAAGCCUGAUAAUGGCAGGUAUGUCUUAGCACUCGAGGUUGAGGAGUUUCUAGAAGCCCAAUCGAUUUCAAAAGUAGAUCACGGAUUCACGGUCAAGUUUAUUAAUUUGAAGUAAAGUGUUUUGUUAUGUUUUUUAACUUCCAGUGAGUUAUUAAUUUGAAGUAAAAUGUUCUGCACUAAUGCGAUAACAUGUUUUAAUGGUGCUUCUACUUUUUGUUGAAUAA
Long non-coding RNA from Helianthus annuus (common sunflower), 2800 nucleotides. RefSeq lists it as uncharacterized. The transcript is spliced from 3 exons. NCBI's taxonomy places the organism in Eukaryota, Viridiplantae, Streptophyta, Magnoliopsida, Asterales, Asteraceae. The record is from RefSeq and is a predicted model, not a curated record.